GUCCACGUUGCGGCGGACCAGAGCCAGAAGCCUCCAAGGCCGAUGGUGGCGGCCGGCCAAUAUCUCGUCGUCAUGGCGAGCAGGCCGGCAGC
This 92-nucleotide small RNA is filed under the name Rhizobium sp. BK591. RNAcentral describes it as "sRNA Atu_Ti1". It matches the Rfam family "Rhizobiales sRNA Atu_Ti1". Lineage: Bacteria; Pseudomonadati; Pseudomonadota; Alphaproteobacteria; Hyphomicrobiales; Rhizobiaceae. The record is from RNAcentral.